GUGAACGCUGGCGGUAGGCCUAACCCAUGCCAGUCGAACGGCAGCACAGUAAGAGCUUGCUCUUACGGGUGGCGAGUGGCGGACGGGUGAGGAAUACAUCGGAAUCUACUUUUUCGUGGGGGAUAACGUAGGGAAACUUACGCUAAUACCGCAUACGACCUACGGGUGAAAGCAGGGGAUCUUCGGACCUUGCGCGAUUGAAUGAGCCGAUGUCGGAUCAGCUAGUUGGCGGGGUAAAGGCCCACCAAGGCGACGAUCCGUAGCUGGUCUGAGAGGAUGAUCAGCCACACUGGAACUGAGACACGGUCCAGACUCCUACGGGAGGCAGCAGUGGGGAAUAUUGGACAAUGGGCGCAAGCCUGAUCCAGCCAUACCGCGUGGGUGAAGAAGGCCUUCGGGUUGUAAAGCCCUUUUGUUGGGAAAGAAAAGCAGCAGGUUAAUACCCCGCUGUUCUGACGGUACCCAAAGAAUAAGCACCGGCUAACUUCGUG
Molecule: ribosomal RNA, 491 nt
Filed under: uncultured bacterium
Lineage: Bacteria
Description: partial 16S ribosomal RNA
Rfam family: Bacterial small subunit ribosomal RNA
Source: RNAcentral